This 2389-nucleotide long non-coding RNA is filed under the name Arabidopsis thaliana (thale cress). Its description in RNAcentral is "long non-coding RNA (ATHA_LNC000401)". The record is from RNAcentral. Lineage: Eukaryota; Viridiplantae; Streptophyta; Magnoliopsida; Brassicales; Brassicaceae.
AGUAAGUAAUAGUUUUGAAUCUUUUGAUGAUUUUUCCAAAUUUCAACUCUCUUUUUAUUUUCUUUAUAUAGUUUCUAAUAUAUUUUUUGAUAAAAUUCUUCGUGUGUAUAUACAGCGAAAGAAAUAUCCGCGGGAACCCUUGUAUAUGUAGCCUAUAGAUCUGGGGAUUUUACAGGCCUUUUAAAAACUUACGACCUAUGUGAUGUGAGUUUGGCAUGUAACAUUGAUUCUGAGAUUGAAGCUGGCGACGUGUUUGACUUCAGUCUUAAAGACGUUCUUUAUGUUGGUUUUGAUGAGGUAACUAUUUUUAAUACUCUUUGUAUAUGAAUUUGAAGUUUCCUUAAGAAGUCCUAGGACCAAUGUUUUCUCAAGUAAUGCUUUUGGGUUCAUGAUGUUCUUUGUUUCUCAUUAAUUCUUCUUUUUAACUUGGCAGGGAAUCAAGUAUUCCGUAUCUUUGCGUCAAAAAACCGCAGAGGAGGAGGAUCCAAUAAUAAAAAUGUGUAUCGACUUCAAAGUACCUGCCUCAGCUUCUGCAUUUGUCUCUAUUUAGUCACGUUGGCUGAUGAAAAGAUGUUUCCAACUCUUUCAUUAUAUGACUCUUUCUCGCUUGCAUUUUUCCUUUUUUAUGUGUUGUCCAACAAAUAAAUCAAAUCCUUGAACCGAUAUCGCUAUAGAUAUUGCUUUGUUGUAAUUUUGGCCUGAUUAAUAUGAACCAACAUGCCUUUCCUUGAAUUUUCUGGUUGAUAUUGAUCAAAAAUAAAGUUUUUUACAGAGGAAAUGUUUUACGAGUAGCGGAUACGCAUAAUAAAACGCAGAAUAGAACGGAAAUAUGAGGAGACUUUCAAAUAAUUACAACAAAGUUGGAUGAUUAUGCGAUUUGUUUUGGUAACCAGUUGGAUGAUUUUACUAAUUAUAUGAUAGCUCUAUAAAUUCACAACUUACACUUUGCAAUUCCCCAAUCUUGGUGACUAAGCUAAAACUAAAUGAAUGCUAUCAUUCUCCAUGGUUUUUCACUUGAUCAAUUUUUAUUUUUCAUUUUUGGUGAUGAAAUCAUAUUUCUUAGCUUCCGAAACUAAUCAUAAACUCUGCAAGGUAUAAAGAACCGGUGGUGUGCUAAACAUUAGACAACUGGUUAAGCAACCUUACGCUAAUACUUUUUCUUGCUAAGAUACAACAUCAAGAGUCAAGACAUCUCCUUGAGAUAUAUAGGCUGACUUUGCUAGCCGUUAAAUGUUAACUUUACGUUCUUUUCAAAUCUGCAGAUUUUAAAUUAUAAAAAAAAGAAAAAAAAUGUGUUUACAAUAAUUAUCUUCGAGACGGACGUGAUUGUGAAUGAGAAAACUUGGUAGUUAAGAUAUAAUAAAUAAUCAAUUAUGAUCAUACUAAUAUUUAAGAUUCUCGCUUAUAAUGUGGGAUAAAGAAUUGACAAUUGAUCAUACAUUCAUACUAAUAUUUUAAGAUUCUCGCUCUUAUAAUGUGGGAUAAAGAAUUGACAUUGAUCAUGUACUAAUAUCUUAAGAUUCUCGCUGAUAAUGUGGGAGAUUAAAAUAAUGGAUAUAAUGUAUACAGGCUAUAGCAUCCUGCACUAACGAUCCCAUCUACUUAUUCUGAAGAUUAUAAAAUAGCAGGCUUGCAUAUAUAGAAGAAUAACAUGUACCUAACUUUUUAGUCAAACAAUCAAAACAAAAAAUCCAAGAAGCUUUGAAGAACCAUGGCGAUGUCUCAUAUCCAGCCUGUGCUUUUCUUCCUUGCAUCUCUCUUCUUCUUACCGGCUUUGUGCAGCGCCAUCGAUUUUGAAUAUUGCACUAGUAAGUAUCGGUUUGUUAAUUGUUAAGUCUUCAGUGUUGUAUAUUAUUUUCGUGUGUUUAAUUAUAGAAAACACCUAUAAAUCAAUUCAAUCAUUCAUAUAGGCCUUGAUUUCUUAGUUUGACAUAUGAACUCUAUAUCCAAGGGUUUUGUACCUAGUGGAACUCAUCAUAAGUUCUAACUUUCACGAUCAAUCGCUACGGCUGCUGCAGAAAAUGGACACGAUUACGGUAGCAUCUCUCAGAUCUGGGUCUCUCCCUCUGAUGGGCCUCAGGAAAACCCAACCAUCACUAUACAUUUAUUCGGUUCUGCAAGUAAGUAACAGUUUUGAUGAUCUUCCCAAAGUUUCAAGUCUCUUUUUUUCUUUAUAUAGUUUCUAAUAUUUUCUUGAUAAAAUCUUUCUUAUAUAUAUAGGCAAAGACAUAUCCGCAGGAACCCUUGUGUAUGUUACCUAUAGAUCUGGGGAUUUUACAGGCCUUUUAAAAACUUACGACCUAUGUGAUGUGAGUGCAUGUAACCCUGAAUAUGUGAUUGAAGCUGGCACCGACUUUGAGUUGACUCUUUCCGACGUUCUUUAUGUUGG